CCUACGGGUGGCUGCAGUGGGGAAUAUUGCACAAUGGGCGAAAGCCUGAUGCAGCAACGCCGCGUGAGCGAUGAAGGCCUUCGGGUCGUAAAGCGCUGUUCUCAAGGAAGAUAAUGACGGUACUUUAGGAGGAAGCCCCGGCUAACUACGUGCCAGCAGCCGCGGUAAUACGUAGGGGGCUAGCGUUAUCCGGAAUUACUGGGCGUAAAGGGUGCGUAGGUGGUUUCGUAAGUCAGGGGAGAAUGGCUACGGCAAAAACGUAGUAAGCCUUUGAAACUGGGGAGCUUGAGAGCAGGAGAGGAGAGUGGAAUUCCUAGUGUAGCGGUGAAAUGCGUAGAGAGUAGGAGGAACACCAGUUGCGAAGGCAGCUCUCUGGACUGUAACUGACACUGAGGCACGAAAGCGUGGGGAGCAAACAGGAUUAGAUACCCGGGUAGUC
This 439-nucleotide ribosomal RNA is filed under the name uncultured bacterium. RNAcentral's name for it is "partial 16S ribosomal RNA". It matches the Rfam family "Bacterial small subunit ribosomal RNA", at positions 338 to 795 of the family's 1533-position model. The record is from RNAcentral.